This 253-nucleotide ribosomal RNA is filed under the name uncultured bacterium. RNAcentral's name for it is "partial 16S ribosomal RNA". It matches the Rfam family "Bacterial small subunit ribosomal RNA", at positions 524 to 776 of the family's 1533-position model. The record is from RNAcentral.
UACGUAGGGGGCAAGCGUUGUCCGGAUUUAUUGGGUUUAAAGGGUGCGUAGGCGGCCCUGUAAGUCAGUGCUGAAAUAUCCCGGCUUAACCGGGAGGGUGGCAUUGAUACUGCGGGGCUAGAGUACAGAUGAGGUAGGCGGAAUUGACGGUGUAGCGGUGAAAUGCUUAGAUAUCGUCAAGAACACCGAUAGUGUAGACAGCUUACUAGACUUCAACUGACGCUGAGGCACGAAAGUGUGGGGAUCAAACAGG